GAUGAACGCUAGCGGGAGGCUUAAUACAUGCAAGUCGAGCGGUAAGGUUUUCGGACCCUAGAGCGGCGAACGGGUGAGUAACGCGUACGAAACCUACCUUUAAGAGAGGGAUAGCCCUGGGAAACUGGGAGUAAUACCUCAUAGUAUUCAAUAACCGCAUGGUUUAUGGAUUAAAGCUGCGGCGCUUAAAGAUGGUCGUGCGUCUGAUUAGCUAGUUGGUAGGGUAACGGCCUACCAAGGCUACGAUCAGUAGGGGGCGUGAGAGCGUGGCCCCCCACACGGGUACUGAGACACGGACCCGACUCCUACGGGAGGCAGCAGUAAGGAAUAUUGGGCAAUGGACGGAAGUCUGACCCAGCCAUCCCGCGUGCAGGACGAAUGCCCUAUGGGUUGUAAACUGCUUUUGUUGGGAAGAAAUGUAUUCUUUUAAGAGUAUUUGACGGUACCAGACGAAUAAGCAACCGGCUAAACUCCGUG
This 477-nucleotide ribosomal RNA is filed under the name uncultured bacterium. RNAcentral's name for it is "bacterial SSU rRNA". It matches the Rfam family "Bacterial small subunit ribosomal RNA", at positions 28 to 507 of the family's 1533-position model. The record is from RNAcentral.